Molecule: long non-coding RNA, 429 nt
Filed under: Aedes aegypti (yellow fever mosquito)
Lineage: Eukaryota; Metazoa; Arthropoda; Insecta; Diptera; Culicidae
Description: lncRNA AAEL023972
Source: RNAcentral
UAGACAAACUGUUCCAUGAGUAUAUUAGAUACGGUUACCUAUUUCGGUUAUGGUUUACUUUCCUAUCUAGCAGAAGCCUUGUAAAUAACAAUUCUGUCGGAACCAAUGCACAUCAACCAGCAACGGCAUCGCUCGGGAAAUUUAAACAGUAGAACAGAAUCGAAUGUACACUAGGAGGGGGAAAUAGCGUCCUGAUUAGUGCAGUUACUCGAAGUGAUGUACGGGCUGCAUCUUUCAACUGUAGUGCAUAGUGCGGACGCGAAAUUGGUUCCAGGAAAGACCAAAGAGAUUGGUUUUGUCAACUACUUUCACUCCCCCAUUGCCUGGAAAUAGUUCAACACGACUGCCGCUGGAUGUGCAUUUUCGAAAAGCAGACAUUUGUUGUAGUACGACCUUAUGAAGUAAAUAAAUUUCAAAUAUUCUGUACUA